This 468-nucleotide ribosomal RNA is filed under the name uncultured bacterium. RNAcentral describes it as "partial 16S ribosomal RNA". It matches the Rfam family "Bacterial small subunit ribosomal RNA", at positions 28 to 507 of the family's 1533-position model. The record is from RNAcentral.
GACGAACGCUGGCGGCGUGCUUAACACAUGCAAGUCGAACGGAAAGGCCCUGCUUUCGUGGGGUGCCCGAGUGGCGAACGGGUGAGUAACACGUGAGUAACCUGCCCUUGACUUUGGGAUAACUUCAGGAAACUGGGGCUAAUACCGGAUAGGAGCUCCUGCAGCAUGGUGGGGGUUGGAAAGUUUCGGCGGUUGGGGAUGGACGCGCGGCUUAUCAGCUUGUUGGUUGGGUAGUUGCUUACCAAGGCUUUGACGGAUAGCCGGCCUGAGAGCGUGACCGGCGACAAGGGGACUACGGUACGGACCAGACUCGUACGGGGGACAGCAGGGGGGAAUAUUGCACAGUGGUGGGAAGCGUGAUGCGGCAGCGCCGGGUGCGGGAUGACGGCCUUCGGGUUGUAAACCGCUUUCGGCUGAGACGAAGCGGGAGUGACGGUAAUGGGUAAAGAAGCACCGGCUAACUACGUG